Molecule: long non-coding RNA, 208 nt
Filed under: Solanum tuberosum (potato)
Lineage: Eukaryota; Viridiplantae; Streptophyta; Magnoliopsida; Solanales; Solanaceae
Description: long non-coding RNA (STUB_LNC006505)
Source: RNAcentral
CCUCUCUCACUCACCUCUCUCCUCUCUCUCCUAAUCUCGAUCGCCACUUCUUGUCUAACACAAAGAACAUAUACAUAUUCAAAUGCAAUUUUCAUAAACACGGACGCCAAAUUUAUACAAAUCAGAUGCUCCAUAGCAAACAUAAUUUAGCUAUGGAACACAAAUAGCAUAUUUUAACUAUAUAGCGCUAAUAUAAUUUUUAUCUUUG